Molecule: ribosomal RNA, 393 nt
Filed under: bacterium enrichment culture clone ALO1_GLFRUDD03F5N7N
Lineage: Bacteria
Description: bacterial SSU rRNA
Rfam family: Bacterial small subunit ribosomal RNA
Source: RNAcentral
GAGUUUGAUCGUGGCUCAGAUUGAACGCUGGCGGCAUGCCUUACACAUGCAAGUCGAACGGCAGCACGGGAGCUUGCUCCUGGUGGCGAGUGGCGAACGGGUGAGUAAUGCAUCGGAACGUAUCCUGGAGUGGGGGAUAACGUAGCGAAAGUUACGCUAAUACCGCAUAUUCUGUGAGCAGGAAAGCGGGGGGACCUUCGGGCCUCGCGCUCUUGGAGCGGCCGAUGUCGGAUUAGCUAGUUGGUGAGGUAAAGGCUCACCAAGGCGACGAUCCGUAGCAGGUCUGAGAGGAUGAUCUGCCACACUGGAACUGAGACACGGUCCAGACUCCUACGGGAGGCAGCAGUGGGGAAUUUUGGACAAUGGGGGCAACCCUGAUCCAGCCAUGCCGCG